RNAcentral lists this long non-coding RNA (1968 nucleotides) under Chinchilla lanigera (long-tailed chinchilla). Its description in RNAcentral is "lncRNA (ENSCLAG00000025251.1)". The record is from RNAcentral. Lineage: Eukaryota; Metazoa; Chordata; Mammalia; Rodentia; Chinchillidae.
UUAAUUUUACUCUUGCCUUCACUUCCCCUGUUAGGUACACAUUUCUUGAAGCCAGGGAGUCCCUCUUACCCAUUAGAACCCUGGAAUCAAGCACAGUGUCUGGUACAAGAGAUAUUUUGCUAAACACUGAAUGUGAACUUAAACUCAACCUAAUAUACAUCUUUAUCUUGAUGUCUUUUCCUCCAAAGCUAGAGGUAGACUAUACAGUAGGUAAAGCAACAGGCAGGAGACUGUAUCUCUGAACGCACGUGUGGAAUGCAUGAGAGAAAAGCCAGAGUUACCUCCCGAGUCACAGCACUGUAAUAGAUGAGUCCACGCCCGCUCCAGUGAAGGGAGACAGGAAAACGCUGUGUCCUUUGCGUCACUGAGGUCCUCUGAAAUGCCAUCUGCUGCCUCCCUGGGCAGGUUCUGGGGCUUCUCCACCAGUGCACGGAGCGGUUUCCACAGCACGGCUUUUCCGAGGGAUAACAUCAGGCAAAUCAUGAGAGCAUCACUGAGCUCACACAUUCCUCAAGACCUUUAAUGCUCACUUUAGGCACCUCAGACUUGCUCCCUUUUGAGGGUGCAUCUUCUCUAUUACCAUAAAGACCACUUGCUCCUGAAUAGUUUCUAUGUCUUUUAUUAAGAAGUCACCAGCUCUUCAUAGCCAGGGUCCUGGUGUGUCUUUGAGAAUAUGCUCAGUUUAUUCUUGCAACUCUGAGGCUGAAACAGCACACUCUAGAAGGAAGGAAAUACGUCAGGUUACUGAUUUCUCUCAGAACGUGCUGGUUCCUUGGAAGUCUCCACCAGGGGAUCACCAUUCUUUUACACCAAAGGAUUGGCCGUAAAAAUUAAAUGUACACGGGGUAACUUCAUUAUGGGUUAAUUCCAGCAGACUUGAAAUCAUCACAAGGUGCUUUGCUGUGGUUCCUGCAUGGUGCUGACCCUUCCUCAAGGCAGGAGCGCCCAGAUCAAUCGCGUUGUCUUGUGGUUAAGCAUGGGUAGAGUUACUAAUCGAUUUGUCCCAGCUCAAAGCACUAUGCCUCGAUCACAACUGGGGCAGUGUUUUGCAUGUGGUCUCUGUGAGACACACAGAAUAGCCUUCUGUGGAGGCUGACUGUACAACAAGGAAUCUGCCUGCACAACAGAUCAGCAGUCAGAGGCCCUACCUAACGCACCAUUUAGGGAAUUUCUGGUUCUGAGGAACUCUAUUUUCGUUCUAUCACAAACAGAACAUGCACCACAGAGAGGAAGCCAAGGCCACUGGAACUCAGGCCUGAUCCCUCAGGACUCAUCAGAGGAGGCGUCUUCAGGGAAGAGGCCUGUCUCAGCUCUCAUGCUGUUGCUAUGUCAUCUCCUAUUUCUGUGACAAACUGUGGAUUUGUGAAUAAUUUUAUGGGGUCCUGUGGGCAAACACAUCAGGAACCCUCACUGUCACUGGUACAGCAUUUGGCAUCUGGAUGAAAUUGCAGGCAUUCCUGCAUUGUGCUGACCCUUCCUCAAGGCAGAGGAACACCUUUAAGAAAAAUAUUACCAGCAACGUUCUCGUGAAUUUAAAAGAUGUUUCAGGCAAGGAGAAAGAAGCAAACUGAUAGAUCUAGAGUCAGAGCUGAUCGUGUGUCUAAGCGCAAGGACUUUGGAAUGGCUUCCUGAUGAUGAAUAAUCCCGGGAUUUAGUAAAAUGGGUGAGCCGGGAACUGCGGCAAAAGGAAACACUGGGGCAAAUUAGCUAAAAAUUCGCCCUCUGCACUUCUGCUUAGCAAAAGAGAAAGUGCUGGCCAGCAGGGGGAGCUCCAUCCCCAGCCUCCUUUGCAACCAUAAUAAACUAUCUAAAUAAACUCUAUACCUGUGAGAUGGGUCCUUAGAACUUGUCCCAAUCGAUUAAAGGACAGGGGAGCCCUGGGAGUCAGAGAAGGGAAACGCCCUGCUCCCCCCUCUGUGAGGGAGACGGACAGACCUUCCUGCAGCCACAGACACGCGACAAGUGCUG